AUAUCAAUAAGCGGAGGAAAAGAAACCAACAGGGAUUGCCCUAGUAACGGCGAGUGAAGCGGCAAAAGCUCAAAUUUGAAAUCUGGUUCUAGGACCCGAAUUGUAAUUUGUAGAGGAAAGUUUGGUGAUAUUAUCGGUCUAAGUUUCCUGGAACGGAACGUCUUAGAGGGUGAGAGCCCCGUAUUCGACUGGAUAGUAGAACCAUGUAAACUUCCUUCGAAGAGUCGAGUUGUUUGGGAAUGCAGCUCAAAAUGGGUGGUAAAUUCCAUCUAAAGCUAAAUAUUGGCCAGAGACCGAUAGCGCACAAGUAGAGUGAUCGAAAGAUGAAAAGCACUUUGGAAAGAGAGUGAAACAGUAC
This 358-nucleotide ribosomal RNA is filed under the name uncultured fungus. RNAcentral describes it as "eukaryotic LSU rRNA". It matches the Rfam family "Eukaryotic large subunit ribosomal RNA", at positions 40 to 398 of the family's 3401-position model. The record is from RNAcentral. Lineage: Eukaryota; Fungi.